RNAcentral lists this long non-coding RNA (849 nucleotides) under Olea europaea subsp. europaea. The record is from RNAcentral. Lineage: Eukaryota; Viridiplantae; Streptophyta; Magnoliopsida; Lamiales; Oleaceae.
UUCCUCUUCAAUUAUUAAAUAUACAAUUUUCAACCCAAACCUUAAUCAUUUUCUCCCCUUCCAAUUCAAUUUCUUUCCAAACCCUUAAAAUCAUUUCCCAUAUAUUUUCCCUCUCUCCAUCUUCUCUUUUCUCAAUAUCUCUACCUACCACAGCCACUUACGAAGCAGCCACACACUCUCUAAUCUAGCGAGGAAAGACAACACAGUGUAACCUCGCACCACCACUCAUCUCUACGUUGACGUCGCUCUCUUCUAUUGAAGUGGUAUUGCAAUCGCACCCAUAUCUCCCAUCAUUUGUUGAUGCAAGGGUCGUCACGCGUAGCUCGUAGAGGUGUUUAGCCAUCAUUGUUUGUGAUUUUGUAUCGAUUUGUGUACCAGCAUUGACCAUGGUUUGCGAUUUGUUGCUUGUGGCUGGCAUAUUUUGAGAUGAUUUUUGGACGUGAAGGAUGGCUACCAAGCUAAAUUUGGUUGGGUUCUGUUGGUUAUUGGUGUCGGUGGCGGUUUACAUGGUUUGGUGAGGUUGGGGGUAUUUUAAUAGUGAUUGUGUUGUUAGAUCUCGUGUUGAUGGUGGUAGCCUUCGUGGUGGUGGUACAGAGAUUGUGGUAGUAGGUGGGAUGUUACUGGUGGAUCUCGUGCUGUUGGUGGUGAUGAAUACAACGGUGGUGGGAGUUGUCAAGGUGGUGGUGCAAAGGUUGUGAUAGUAGGUGGGAUGGGAUAUGGUGGUGCUGGGUGUUUUACGCCAAUUAUUUGGUUGAUUGUGACAAAUAAUUGAUUAAUCCUUGUCAAAGAAAUAAUAUGAUCGUGAUUCAAAUUUUAUUAAGUUGUGAUCGCGAAAUAAUUUUGACCAAU